RNAcentral lists this ribosomal RNA (196 nucleotides) under Escherichia coli. Its description in RNAcentral is "partial 23S ribosomal RNA". It matches the Rfam family "Bacterial large subunit ribosomal RNA", at positions 1 to 188 of the family's 2925-position model. The record is from RNAcentral. Lineage: Bacteria; Pseudomonadati; Pseudomonadota; Gammaproteobacteria; Enterobacterales; Enterobacteriaceae.
GGGUUGUGAGGUUAAGCGACUAAGCGUACACGGUGGAUGCCCUGGCAGUCAGAGGCGAUGAAGGACGUGCUAAUCUGCGAUAAGCGUCGGUAAGGUGAUAUGAACCGUUAUAACCGGCGAUUUCCGAAUGGGGAAACCCAGUGUGAUUCGACACACUAUCAUUAACUGAAUCCAUAGGUUAAUGAGGCGAACCGGG